This 403-nucleotide long non-coding RNA is filed under the name Panax ginseng (ginseng). RNAcentral describes it as "long non-coding RNA (PGIN_LNC000117)". Lineage: Eukaryota; Viridiplantae; Streptophyta; Magnoliopsida; Apiales; Araliaceae. The record is from RNAcentral.
UACCAUACAAAGAUUUUGAUACCAUGGCAGGUGGGGACAAGUUUGGGAAUAUUAUUUUGUACUGCUACCGCAGGAUGUUUCUGAUGAGAUUGAAGAAGAUCCAACUAAUGGAAAGAUCCAAUGGGAGCAUGGGAAGCUGAUUGGGGCCCUAGACAAAAUAGAAGAAAUAAAUUCAGUUUUAGUGUCGUACAAUUUCUGGGGUUAUUGCUGAAUUCUUUGAUUCAAUUUUAGUUAGUUCAGAUUCGGCCACUCACCUGACAUAAAAAAAGUGGGACUUCAGGAAGCUCUACUGAUCCUCCAGUUCGUGAAGACAAAAACAGUUCAAAGGUUGACGAGCUCACACCGGUGACCGAAUUGAGAAGCAAUGAAGCAGAUCAAGGAAACUUCACUGGAUUUUCUAAGG